CACACAAGUAAAGCAAUCAGAUAUAUAAGAAUACACAAAGGAUUUUAUCGAGGUUCACCCAAUAAACUGGGCUACAUCCUCGUUGAGCUCGCCUAAGAGGAAGACUUGCUCUUGCACUAAAUCAAUGGAGUUUAUACACAGAUGCUGAGAUUCCAAGCCACAUAAACAACUGCACAAGAUGGAUCUCUCUAAAGACCAGAACUUUCUUUUUCCUUGGAGUGAUUUCACUUCUCUGCUUGUUGUAAGUCUCUUUAGGUCUCUUGUUUUGGCAGUGCAUAUAUAUAUAUAUAUAUAUAUAUAGAGAGAGAGAGAGAGAGAGAGAGAGAGAUAAGUUGAGUCGAUGUAGCUGAGAGAGGUUGGAAGUUGAAGUCUUUGAAGAGUUUGUUAUAAAUCUGUUUUUGCUGAGUU
Molecule: long non-coding RNA, 408 nt
Organism: Humulus lupulus (European hop)
Lineage: Eukaryota; Viridiplantae; Streptophyta; Magnoliopsida; Rosales; Cannabaceae
Exons: 2
Source: RefSeq, a predicted model, not a curated record